RNAcentral lists this non-coding RNA (31 nucleotides) under Rattus norvegicus (Norway rat). Lineage: Eukaryota; Metazoa; Chordata; Mammalia; Rodentia; Muridae. The record is from RNAcentral.
UUGACCGUGGUCAGAGAUGAUCUGGAAUGGA